UCGGCAAAUUAACACCGUAACUUGGGGAGAAGGUGUGCCCCGGUAGCGUGUAGAGACUUGCUCUCGAAGCGCGAUGGGGUUGCAGUGAAAUGGUGGCUGCGACUGUUUAAUAAAAACACAGCACUCUGCAAACACGAAAGUGGACGUAUAGGGUGUGACGCCUGCCCGGUGCCGGAAGGUUAAGUGAUGGGGUGCAAGCUCUUGAUCGAAGCCUCGGUAAACGGCGGCCGUAACAAUAACGGUCCUAAGGUAGCGAAAUUCCUUGUCGGGUAAGUUCCGACCUGCACGAAUGGCGUAACGAUGGCCACACUGUCUCCUCCUGGGACUCAGCGAAGUUGAAAUGUUUGUGAAGAUGCAAUCUACCCGCGGCUAGACGGAAAGACCCCAUGAACCUUUACUGUAGCUUUGCAUUGGACUUUGAACCGGUUUGUGUAGGAUAGGUGGGAGACUGUGAAGCCGGGACGCUAGUUUCGGUGGAGUCAACCUUGAAAUACCACCCUGAUUUGUUUGAGGUUCUAACCUUGGUCCGUGAAUCCGGAUCGGGGACCGUGCAUGGUAGGCAGUUUGACUGGGGCGGUCUCCUCCCGAAAGGUAACGGAGGAGUACGAAGGUACGCUUAGGGCGGUCGGACAUCGCCCACAAAGUGCAAUGGCAAAAGCGUGCUUGACUGCGAGACCCACAAGUCGAGCAGGUACGAAAGUAGGUCAUAGUGAUCCGGUGGUUCUGUAUGGAAGGGCCAUCGCUCAACGGAUAAAAGGUACUCUGGGGAUAACAGGCUAAUUCCUCCCAAGAGUUCAUAUCGACGGGGGAGUUUGGCACCUCGAUGUCGGCUCAUCACAUCCUGGGGCUGUAGUCGGUCCCAAGGGUAUGGCUGUUCGCCAUUUAAAGUGGUACGCGAGCUGGGUUUAAAACGUCGUGAGACAGUUUGGUCCCUAUCUGCCGUGGGCGCUGGAAAUUUGAAGGGGGCUGCUCCUAGUACGAGAGGACCGGAGUGGACGAACCUCUGGUGUACCGGUUAUGACGCCAGUCGUAUCGCCGGGUAGCUAAGUUCGGAAGAGAUAAACGCUGAAAGCAUCUAAGCGUGAAACUCGCCUUAAGAUAAGAUUUCCCGGAGUCUUGAACUCCCUGAAGGGUCGUCGAAGACCACGACGUCGAUAGGUCAGGUGUGGAAGCGCAGCAAUGCGUUAAGCUAACUGAUACUAAUUGCCCGUGCGGCUUGAUCCU
This 1224-nucleotide ribosomal RNA is filed under the name metagenome. RNAcentral describes it as "bacterial LSU rRNA". It matches the Rfam family "Bacterial large subunit ribosomal RNA", at positions 1714 to 2925 of the family's 2925-position model. The record is from RNAcentral.